RNAcentral lists this transfer RNA (69 nucleotides) under Cleistostoma dilatatum. RNAcentral's name for it is "tRNA-Asn". The record is from RNAcentral. Lineage: Eukaryota; Metazoa; Arthropoda; Malacostraca; Decapoda; Camptandriidae.
UUGACAGAAGCCAAAACUUAGAGGCACACCACUGUUAAUGGUCUAAUUGAAAUUUUUUUUCCUGUCAAG